RNAcentral lists this unclassified non-coding RNA (254 nucleotides) under Hevea brasiliensis (rubber tree). Lineage: Eukaryota; Viridiplantae; Streptophyta; Magnoliopsida; Malpighiales; Euphorbiaceae. The record is from RNAcentral.
UCUUUGCUUCUUCCUUUACACCACCCAAGCUAGGUGGCCUCACCAUGCAAAACAUAAGCACACUCACUCUCACAAAGUAUCCGCAAUUUCAGAACCUCCCUCUUCCCCACCUGUAUCUGCUAAUCUUUCAGAACCUACCUCUCCUCCACCUGAAGCUUCAAAUCUUUUAGAACCUCCCUCUCCUCCACCUGAAGCUUCAAAUCUUUUAGAACCUCCCUCUCCUCCACCUGAAGCUUCAAAUCUUUUAGAACCUC